GAUGAACGCUGGCGGCGUGCCUAAUACAUGCAAGUCGAGCGAACAGACGAGGAGCUUGCUCCUCUGACGUUAGCGGCGGACGGGUGAGUAACACGUGGAUAACCUACCUAUAAGACUGGGAUAACUUCGGGAAACCGGAGCUAAUACCGGAUAAUAUAUUGAACCGCAUGGUUCAAUAGUGAAAGACGGUUUUGCUGUCACUUAUAGAUGGAUCCGCGCCGCAUUAGCUAGUUGGUAAGGUAACGGCUUACCAAGGCAACGAUGCGUAGCCGACCUGAGAGGGUGAUCGGCCACACUGGAACUGAGACACGGUCCAGACUCCUACGGGAGGCAGCAGUAGGGAAUCUUCCGCAAUGGGCGAAAGCCUGACGGAGCAACGCCGCGUGAGUGAUGAAGGUCUUCGGAUCGUAAAACUAUGUUAUUAGGGAAGAACAAAUGUGUAAGUAACUAUGCACGUCUUGACGGUACCUAAUCAGAAAGCCACGGCUAACUACGU
RNAcentral lists this ribosomal RNA (496 nucleotides) under uncultured bacterium. RNAcentral describes it as "partial 16S ribosomal RNA". It matches the Rfam family "Bacterial small subunit ribosomal RNA", at positions 28 to 506 of the family's 1533-position model. The record is from RNAcentral.